AUAUCGUGCGUCCAACGGGACUACACAACUCUGCUCUCUCUCUCUCUCUCUCUCGCGUCUAAGCCCUAGACUUCUCUCUCUGCUCUCUCUCUGCCGUCGAAGCCCGCCUUCUCUGUCUGCUCUCUCUCUCUCUCGUCUAAGCCCUAGCUUUCUCUCUCUGCUCUCUCUCUGUCGCGUCGAAGCCCUAGCUUUCUCUCUCUGCUCUCUCUCUUUAGAUGAAAAAGAUGCGGACAAGAUGAUGUUAUAGAUUCGAUAUAGUCUCCCUAUUCGAGUUAUCUCUCUGGUUCGCCUCUUUGUUCGAGUUCUCUCUCUGGUUUGGACACGAGAAACAACCAUUUGGAGCCACAGUUUCUUCAAAUUUUAGACGGCUAUACACAUCAAUUUGGAGCAAAAAAUCAAGGGUUUCAAAAUUGCAAGGGAAAUUGCAGAUUUGGAAGAACUUAGGAACGUAUCUUUGUUGUUUGAUAAUUAUUAUCAGCAAGACCUUUCAAACUAUUCUUCAAAUGUCGCGCAACGUUGGGACAUUGGUACUGCUAUUGCACGCUCUAGCUUUCGUGUUAUGGCUAGCAUGAAUCUAUCCACAGAAUUUCAAAUCUAUGGCAAACCCUGGGAGAUCUACAACAACCACAGUCAGCUCUAAUAUGAUCACCCAUCAACUGCUGAGCAGUUGAAAUGAUCAUGGGGAAGAUAUAUGUAUGUUUCUCUAUUAUUUAUGUUUGUUAAUUAAUUUGUGCCUAAGUUUUAUUUUUCUUCUUCUUUUUGGAUACAAUAUUUUUCUUACUACUAUGGUUUCUGCUAUUAGUACUACUUUCAUUUUGCUUUAAAAGAAAAUUCAACAAUGAGACUUCUAAAAAUAUCUUUUAAUUUUUAGGAGUCUGGAAAAUAAAUUAAUUUUUGUUAGUACACUUACCUAAACAUUAGAAAAACGAAUUUGAUGGUAGCAGUUGAGACUUGGCAUAAUAACCAGGAUGAUGAAUAUUACUACAGAUAGCCAAGCAUGAUUUAUCCAGGACAAUGUAAUCAAAAUAACAUAUUUUGAGAACAAAAGAAAUUAUGAGGACCUUUAUUCUCAGUAUAUUUAAACCUAGUGUUACUGGUAGUACUAAUGUGUAAAGAGCACAUCAAAAGGAUAUGAGGUAAUAGCCAUGACUACAUAUAACCAUAUGAUCACUCUCUCUAUAUAUCUUUAACAUGGAUUUUAGGUUGAUUUGUAAAUCAACCUAAUUUACACGGCAUCUAGGUGAAUAUUUAGAUCAUAGAUUGUUUCUAAAACAUUUAUAUCUCAUUGUAUAAGUAACAAGAGUUCUAGAAACAACUUUUCUGAGAUAAAAUUAUGAGACCGCAUUGGAUGAAAAUAUAUAAUAGUAUUAGGGUUCACUAUAAAGGAGAAAUGGGAAUGGUAUAUUACUGAGUGUUCUUCCUUUACAACCUUAUAUACUUGUUGAAUGUUAUGGAUAUGAAUCUUUAAAAAAUUCAUUUGAUAAAAGAAGAAAUGAAGUUAAAUGAGGUUGAUUUGAGUGAAUGCAUGUCACAUUCAAUUUUGCAUUAUUGUGAGUAUGAUCUCAAUUAAUCGAAGAUGUUGGGAGGAAAAUGUCACUAGGUUACAAAUGACACUCCCUAUUUAUAGAUAUCGGACAAGGAUCCCCUCCAAGAAAGAAGAGGUCCUUAUUGGUGGGUGUGCAGAACCUCUCAUUUCUUGAAGAGGAUCCUUAUCCAUAGACAUCCUCCCUACCUUCUCAAAUCCAUCCGGUACUUCAUAACUCCACAUCAAUCUGGAAUAUUCUAUAACUUCAGUCAUGUCAUUCCGCCGGUCUAAGACAUGGUAGAUUCUCCAUGCAACUUGACUAAGCGUGACACCAUGCUUACAAAAAUAUGAAUAAAAAAAUGCAACCCAAUGAGUGCUCAGGCACAUGACAAUGGCCAGGAUUUAUCAGGAAAAAGAAUAUGGGGAUUUAUGAGUUAAUAUCUUAAGCAAAGAGUUUAAAGCUUAAUAUAUAUUUAUGAGAAUCAACUAGGAGUUAAUUCUUUGGGCUCACUAUAAAAUUUUGGUAAAAAAAAUAAAAUAAAGGAAAAAUAAAAUUUGGGGAUUCUGCUAUUGUUUGGGGUAUAAUAAUAUAAGGAAAUAAAUCUUUUAAAAUAUGAUAAUAUAAGAAAAUAUUUUUUUUUUGGGAUUCUGAUAUUGUUUGGGAUCUAGUAAUUAUAAGGAAAUAACAUUUUUAAGAAAGUAACAAUAUAUAAAGAAUAUAUAUAUAUAUAUAUAUAUAUUUUUGGAUUAUUGGUUUAGGGGACUAAGCCUUGAUAAUAUCUGUUAAGUCCCCAAUCAAGAGUGAAUGUUAUAAUGAUAACUCUGAUAUAGAUUGAGAACAAUUAUUUAAUAAUCUCGAUCAUUUUAUAAGCGGAUGUUGAGAGAGAGAAAAAUCUAAAAUGUAUCUUAGUCCUUUGCCAUACUAAUUGAUAUUAAAAGUUUUAAUUAGCACAGAUGUCUAAUGUUAUUUAUCUAAAAUGUAUCUUAGUCCUUUGCAAUGCUAAUUGAUAUUAAAAGUUUUAAUUAGCACAGAUGUCUAAUGUUAUUUAUCUAAAAUGUAUCUUAGUCCUUUGCCAUGCUAAUUGAUAUUAAAAGUUUUAAUUAGCACAGUAGUCUAAUGUUAUUUCCCUGAAAUUUUCAGAUCUCAUUUUUCCAAAGUGCAUAAGAAUAUGCAAGUUUCAGAAAGAACUAAAUUUAUAAAUUAAGGGACUGUUAAGGUUCUCUUACCAGAAGCUAGUUAUUCUGUUAUAUAACUUCAUAUAUAUUGCUUCUAUAUGCUUGUUCUAUGGUUAUCUUUUUUCAUUUGCAUAAGAAUAAGUUCCUGCCUCUCAUAAAUUAAAUAGCUGAUGAUUCUUGUCUUCAAUAGUGAUCAUCUAAUAGCUUGUCAUCUUUGACGAAAGAGUUGUGCAGCAGCUAGCUAGCUAACUUCAAAUCCGGAUGUGAAAGAUAUUGGGUACAUAUAGCGGAUAUGCAACACUACCCAACAACUUAGGCUUUUGAUUCAGAAUCUUUUGCAGUUGGACAUCGAAGAAAACCCUAACCCCUAAUGGUAACAUGGCUCAAAGAAGAAACCCUAGGUCUGGAAUCCUCCUUUGGAGAUGCGAAGGUGUGCUAGGCGAUUUACGGAUGGCUGUUGCUGCUAGGGUUGAGAGGAAUAGAGCUUUCUCCCUCCAAAAAAACUCGAAGAUAACAGCACUAGUAACACUUGUUUGGGAGAGAGAUGGAAUUUGCCUGACAACAUUUUCAGAUAAUUGUAGUGGUUACUAGACAAAAUAAUUAAGCAAAUGGUGAUGGAUAAAGAAUGGAUGCACAUGACUUACAGAGUUGAUCCAAAGUAUUUAGAAGGAGCACGGAGGUUUGCUGAUCAGGCGCAAGCGAAUGCAGGCCAUCCAGAAAAGAUUUUAUGCCCUUGUAAUUGUUGUCUAAAUGCAAAGCACCAACACUUCGACAUGGUGUUUAGGCAUUUAUUGGAAAAUGGAAUGGAUCAAUCAUACACUAUCUGGUACUUUCACGGGGAAAAUUUGAGUGAAUCUCUCCGACAUGGAAGUGAUGUAAAUGACGUUGAAAUGCCAGAGACGUAUCAGAAUUUCUAUGAUUCCAGUCUACGACAAAGCUAUUUUUUUGGAUUUUAUACCGUGGAUUUUGCAGCUACUUCCUUGGAUUUUGUACAGUGAGGUGGUUUUCUGAUAAGUGCAGACUGAAACUCAAGUGCUAGAAGGUUUAUCAAUUUUUCAACAGAAGUGUUAAGAGAUUGAUGAUUUUCUUGACAAAUGGAUUUACUUCCUGUUUUGGAACAUUGAUAAAUGUUGAAUUGUUUUUUCACAUUAAUAAAUGAUGAAUUGUAAAAAUGUUUUAACUCUUUUGAUAUAUUUAGUGGGAUAUGUUUUUUGAAUUGAA
RNA transcript from Cornus florida, 3922 nucleotides. RefSeq lists it as uncharacterized. The transcript is spliced from 9 exons. The record is from RefSeq and is a predicted model, not a curated record. Lineage: Eukaryota; Viridiplantae; Streptophyta; Magnoliopsida; Cornales; Cornaceae.